This 905-nucleotide ribosomal RNA is filed under the name uncultured Bacillota bacterium. Its description in RNAcentral is "bacterial SSU rRNA". It matches the Rfam family "Bacterial small subunit ribosomal RNA", at positions 1 to 917 of the family's 1533-position model. The record is from RNAcentral. Lineage: Bacteria; Bacillati; Bacillota.
UGGAUCCAGACUUUGAUCCUGGCUCAGGACGAACGCUGGCGGCGUGCCUAACACAUGCAAGUCGAACGGAGCUGAUGGAAGCUUGCUUCCGGCAGCUUAGUGGCGGACGGGUGAGUAACACGUGAGCAACCUGCCUUUCAGAGGGGAAUAAUGUUUGGAAACGAACACUAAUACCGCAUAACAUAUAUUUGCUGCAUGGCGAAUAUAUCAAAGGAGCAAUCCGCUGAAAGAUGGGCUCGCGUCUGAUUAGCCAGUUGGCGGGGUAACGGCCCACCAAAGCGACGAUCAGUAGCCGGACUGAGAGGUUGAACGGCCACAUUGGGACCGAGACACGGCCCAGACUCCUACGGGAGGCAGCAGUGGGGGAUAUUGCACAAUGGGGGAAACCCUGAUGCAGCAACGCCGCGUGUGGGAAGAAGGUCUUCGGAUUGUAAACCAUUGUCCUCUGUGACGAUAAUGACGGUAGCAGAGGAGGAAGCCACGGCUAACUACGUGCCAGCAGCCGCGGUAAUACGUAGGUGGCGAGCGUUGUCCGGAUUUACUGGGUGUAAAGGGAGCGUAGGCGGGAGAGCAAGUCAGAAGUGAAAUCCAUCGGCUUAACCGAUGAACUGCUUUUGAAACUGUCCUUCUUGAGUGAAGUAGAGGUAGGUGGAAUUCCCGGUGUAGCGGUGAAAUGCGUAGAUAUCGGGAGGAACAUCGGUGGCGAAGGCGACCUACUGGGCUUUUACUGACGCUGAGGCUCGAAAGCAUGGGUAGCAAACAGGAUUAGAUACCCUGGUAGUCCAUGCCGUAAACGAUGAUUACUAGGUGUGGGGGAGCUGACCUCUUCCGUGCCGCAGCAAACGCAAUAAGUAAUCCACCUGGGGAGUACGGCCGCAAGGUUGCAACUCAAAGGAAUUGACGGA